RNA transcript from Arabidopsis lyrata subsp. lyrata, 2092 nucleotides. RefSeq lists it as uncharacterized. The transcript has 3 exons. Lineage: Eukaryota; Viridiplantae; Streptophyta; Magnoliopsida; Brassicales; Brassicaceae. The record is from RefSeq and is a predicted model, not a curated record.
AGUCUCCAAAAAUUCCCAAUUUUCCCCCGAAUAAGAACCCUAGAACCUGAGAUUAAAAUCGAUAGAGAGACACAAAGAUUGAAAUCGAUCGAGAGACACAGAGAUUGAAAUCAAAUUCAUUGAUUUCAAGGCGAAUACCAUGAAUAGACGAAGGAGAAAGCUUCCAAUUCGAAGGGAUGGUAAAUCCCAAAUUGAACCUGAGAGAGUUGAAGCCGCUGAUCAAGAUGAAUCCGAAAUAGUUGGAGGCGAUGGAGUUGCAAGCAACGGGGUUGCAGAGCGUGGAGUUGCAGAAGAUGGAGGUAUAGGUGAUGGAGUUGCAGAGGAGAUAGUAAACGAGGAGGAAGUAGGCUAUGAUUCUCAUGAUUCUAGUGUUUACGAAGAUGAUUGUCCGGCUAUCGUCGAAGAUAGCAAUGGGUACAGAGAGGUAGAACAAUGUUUAGCUGAAAAUUCAGAGGAAGAAGAAGAUGAACUCAUUGAUGUUGAAAUCUGCAACAACUUAGAAGACCAUGUGUGUGAAGAUGAUGUAGGUAAUAAAUCUGUGAAAGUGGAGAUGAUGUUUGGGACGACGAGAAGAUUUCGGAUCCAUUAUCAGAUGAUGAUGAUAAAUAUGAACUUGAGAGGCUAUUCACUCAUGGAGAACGUUCUAAAGGUCUGCUAGCAUUGAAUAAAACAUUCAACAAUGUGGAUAAAUUCAAGCAGUGGUAGAGUUGGAAGAUAUAGAUAAUUGGAUGUGGUCUGUGCAACUGCUGAAAAAAGACAUGAGUUUUGAAGAUGGAGCUGACAUUACAAUGUAAUCAGAUAAACACCACUGUUUACUAAAUGCAGUUCAUGAUGAGCUUCCUCAAGCUGAACACAAAAUGUGUGCAAGACACAUUUUGAAAAACUAGAAGAAGACAAACAAGGAUAUUGAAACUUGAGUGUAUGUUUUGGAAAAUAGCAAGGAGUUACACAUCAGUAGCCUUUGCAACAAACUUAGAAGCACUGAAGAAGUAUAAUCAAGGUGCGUAUGACUCACUACAACGCACUGCACCAACAACUUGUUCUCGGGCUUUCUUUAAAUUUGGCUCUUGUUGCAAUGAUAACCUUAACAACCAAUUAGAAUCCUUCAAUAGAAAUGUUGGAGAGUAAAGAAGGUUUCCAAUACUUGAUUUCUUAACAGAGGUUAGGAGAAAGUUCAUUGACAGGAAUGCAAAGAUGACACUUUUAACUAUUUGGUGGAAGAAGAGGUUUACAGCAAGAGCAGAUAGAGAGAUUGAAUUAAAUAGGCAGAAAGCCAAGGAAACUUGCAUGAGAUAGAGUGUGGAGUGAUGUUUACUAUGUUGAUAUGGAAAAGAAAACAUGUGGUUGUGGCUAUUGGCAGUUGAAUGACAUACCUUGUAUGCAUAUUAUGUGUGUCAUAAAUACCAGAAAGUUGGAUCUGAAUGAGUAUGUCUCUGAAUGAGUAUGUCUUUGAUUAAUACUUGACUUCAAGGUGGUGUUUAUUGUAUCAGAAAGGAAUUAAACCAGUCCAAGGCAUGAAUAUGUAGAAAAGGUUAGGUCGCUUACCUGUGCUACCACCACUAGCUAGAUUUAAUCAAAGGAAGAACACAUGGUCGUUCUAGGAGAAAGGCUCCUCAUGAGUCUACAUCUAAUAUGUACAAGUUAACUCACCAUAAUAAGACUAGGUGUUCUAAUCCGACUGCAACUCUUGAAGCAAAAUGACCAAGAGGUCGUCAAAGAAAAGUACAUGUUAGUUCUUUUGUUAAAUUUUUUGGUAUUCUUCACUCCUUGGUGUCAUAAUGGUUUGAUUGAUUCUUAGUUUGUAGUGAGAAUCUUAUGUUGGAGCAUCUCAAGGUGGAUAUUCUCAUGCUAGGUCAUCACAAGGAGACUAUUCUCAAGCAAGAGCUUCUCAAGAUGGAUCAUCACAAGGAAGAUUCGGCUUCUCUCUUUAGUCCAUGGAGAUUCUGUUUUAGGCUUGGUUUAUGUAGUUUAUGUUUUUUUAAAGACCAUGAAGGCAUGAUGUUUUUGGUUUUAGUUUAAGACCAUGAAGGUUUAGUUUAAGACCAUGAAGUUCCUGUUUUAUUUAGUACAAUGCAAUUUCACUUGAAUUGUC